UAAAGAUUUUAAGGGCGUACGGUGGAUGCCUUGGCGAUAUCAGCCGAAGAAGGACGCGGUAAGCUGCGAUAAGCUACGGAGAGAUGCAAGCAAUCUUUGACCCGUAGAUUUCCGAAUGGGGGAACCCGGCAGUGGUUAUGCACUGUCACCCAUACCUUUGAGUAUGAGGAGGGCACCUGGGGAACUGAAACAUCUAAUUACCCAGAGGAAGAGUAAUCAAACGAGAUUUUCUUAGUAGCGGCGAGCGAACGGGAAAGAGGCCAAACCGGAGCGGGCAACCGCACCGGGGUUGAGGACAGUCAUCAAGUGUAAAUGAGGUAGAAGAAUCAUGCUGGAAAGCAUAGCCGCAGAAGGUGAAAGCCCUGUAAUCGAAACCUUGCAUACAUGGGACUGUAUCCAGAGUACCACGAGACACGUGAAACCUUGUGGGAAGCAGGGGGGACCACCCUCCAAGCCAAAAUACUGAUAUCGACCGAUAGCGCAUAGUACCGUGAGGGAAAGGUGAAAAGAACCCCUGGCGGGGAGUGAAAGAGAACCUGAAACCGUAUGUCUACAAACAGUCGAAGUCUGUAUAUAUAUCAGGACGACGGCGUGCCUAUUGAAGAAUGAACCGACGAGUUACUGUUGCUAGCGAGGUUAAGUGGAAAACAUGGAGCCGCAGCGAAAGCGAGUCUGAACAGGGCGUUCAGUUAGUAAUAGUAGACCCGAAACCGUAGUGAUCUAUCCAUGGCCAGGUUGAAGCACAGGUAAAAUUGUGUGGAGGACCGAACUCGUGAGCGUUGAAAAGCUUUGGGAUGAGUUGUGGAUAGGGGUGAAAUGCCAAUCGAACACGGAGAUAGCUGGUUCUCCCCGAAAUAGCUUUAGGGCUAGCCUCGAGGUUGAGAGUAUAGGCGGUAGAGCACUGAUCGGGCUAGGGGCCAUACCGGUUACCGAACCUAGUCAAACUACGAAUGGCUAUACUUAUACUCGGGAGUCAGACAGUGAAUGAUAAGGUCCAUUGUCAAGAGGGAAACAGCCCAGAACACCGACUAAGGUCCCAAAUGUUACACUAAGUGGCGAAGGAUGUGGAGUUUCCAAAACAACCAGGAUGUUGGCUUAGAAGCAGCCACCAUUUAAAGAGUGCGUAAUAGCUCACUGGUCGAGAGACUCUGCGCCGAAGAUGUCCGGGGCUAAAGUGUAAAACCGAAGUCGUGUCAUAUGCAGCAAUGUAUAUGGGUAGGGGAGCGUUCUCAUCGGGCUGAAGCAGUACCGUAAGGAGUUGUGGACUGGUGAGAAGUGAGAAUGUCGGUAUGAGUAGCGAAAAGAAUGGUGAGAAUCCAUUCCACCGAAAGCCUAAGGGUUCCUGAGCAACGAUCGUCGUCUCAGGGUAAGUCGGGACCUAAGCCGAGGCGGAAAAGCGUAGGCGAUGGACAACAGGUUGAAAUUCCUGUACCGGUGUGAAUCGUUUGAUCGAUGGAGUGACACAGUAAGGUAGGUCAGCACGCGAUUGGAAGUGCGUGUUUAAGCAUGUAGGUUGAGCUAUAGGCAAAUCCGUAGCUCUAAAAGCUGAGAUGUGAUGACGAGUUACUAGCGAUAGUAACGAAGUGAUUGAUCCUACACUGUCGAGAAAAGCUUCUAGGUAGAGACACAUCGCCCGUACCAAAACCGACACAGGUAGGCGGGGAGAGAAUCCUAAGGUGCGCGGGAAAACCCUCGUUAAGGAACUCGGCAAAAUGCCUCCGUAACUUCGGGAAAAGGAGGACUCAUGUAGUGUGAAGUGCAGCAACGCAUGGAGCAUGAAUGAGUGGCACAAGAGAGGCGCAAGCGACUGUUUACCACAAACACAGGUGCCUGCUAAAGCGAAAGCUGAUGUAUAGGUGCUGACACCUGCCCGGUGCUGGAAGGUUAAGAGGAGGGGUUAGACUUCGGUCGAAGCUCUGAAUUGAAGCCCCAGUAAACGGCGGCCGUAACUAUAACGGUCCUAAGGUAGCGAAAUUCCUUGUCGGGU
RNAcentral lists this ribosomal RNA (1987 nucleotides) under human metagenome. RNAcentral's name for it is "bacterial LSU rRNA". It matches the Rfam family "Bacterial large subunit ribosomal RNA", at positions 1 to 1977 of the family's 2925-position model. The record is from RNAcentral.